GACGAACGCUGGCGGCGUGCCUAAUACAUGCAAGUUGAACGCUGAAGACUGGUACUUGUACCAGUUGGAUGAGUAGCGAACGGGUGAGUAACGCGUGGGUAACCUACCUCUUAGCGGGGGACAACUAUUGGAAACGAUAGCUAAUACCGCAUAACAAUACUUAACACAUGUUAAGUAUUUGAAAGCACCAAUUGGUGCACUAAGAGAUGGACCCGCGUUGUAUUAGCUAGUUGGUAGUGUAAUGGACUACCAAGGCGAUGAUACAUAGCCGACCUGAGAGGGUGAUCGGCCACAUUGGGACUGAGACACGGCCCAAACUCCUACGGGAGGCAGCAGUAGGGAAUCUUCGGCAAUGGACGAAAGUCUGACCGAGCAACGCCGCGUGAGUGAAGAAGGUUUUCGGAUCGUAAAACUCUGUUGUUAGAGAAGAACGUCAGUGAGAGUGGAAAGUUCACUGAGUGACGGUAUCUAACCAGAAAGGGACGGCUAACUACGUGCCAGCAGCCGCGGUAAUACGUAGGUCCCGAGCGUUGUCCGGAUUUAUUGGGCGUAAAGCGAGCGCAGGUGGUUUAAUAAGUCUGAUGUAAAAGGCAGUGGCUCAACCAUUGUGU
Molecule: ribosomal RNA, 611 nt
Filed under: uncultured bacterium
Lineage: Bacteria
Description: bacterial SSU rRNA
Rfam family: Bacterial small subunit ribosomal RNA
Source: RNAcentral